Ahaetulla prasina is the source of this 388-nucleotide long non-coding RNA. RefSeq lists it as uncharacterized. Lineage: Eukaryota; Metazoa; Chordata; Lepidosauria; Squamata; Colubridae. The record is from RefSeq and is a predicted model, not a curated record. The transcript is spliced from 3 exons.
GCAAAAACUCCUGUUGCGGCUCCUGGAAUCCCUCCGGCUCGUUCACCUUUUGACUGCCACAAUUUGCCCCAAAACGUUCGGACCGCGAAAGGAACCAUCCCGACAGACUCAGAGCCACGAAAAGCUCCGAAGGCUCUGGAAAAUGUUUGAGAUGUUGACUCCCCAAUUCUUGUUCACCAACCUUCUGGAGGGGCACCUUAAGCUCCGGUUGAAAUGAGGGCACUGAAAAAUGGCAUUCUUCUAUAAAUUGUUCCGUGGCUUAACUGAAAGAAACAUCUGAACUCCUUCUGCUGGUUGAAGAAGAGAAGAGAGAAAACUCAUAACAUUGCUUAUACGCUUGAAAGUGAAAUUGGGAGAAAUGGACUGAUUUUAAUGCUGUUGUGGACAG